RNAcentral lists this long non-coding RNA (5593 nucleotides) under Homo sapiens (human). RNAcentral describes it as "long non-coding RNA NONHSAT162685.1". Lineage: Eukaryota; Metazoa; Chordata; Mammalia; Primates; Hominidae. The record is from RNAcentral.
UUCACAUUGGUUGGCAGUGGCUCCGUAUAUUUUAUGUAUAAACACAGAUGGAGGUAAUGGCAAAAAUCUAAACUUGGGGCAUUUUGUGAUAGUGAGGUUUGGGCCAAAGGACCCUCUUGUUGGUCCUGUCUUUCUUCCCUUUUACUUGGAUUCUGUGAAUUGGUCUUUCUGAAUUAUCUCAUUCAGCAUGGUUCUUUUGGCAGCAGAUCAAACCUUCUCAUCCCGUACCUCUGCCCUGGAAUUUCCCAACUGGCCAAUCAAGACUUCCUGUUCAGCCACCCUCCACAGUCCCCACAGAUUCCCAUCUUUUUCAAAGCUAAUUAAGAAGUGACAUUUUUUGAGUACUUUCUAUGUGCCAAGGCAUUAUGCCAAGAGCCUAACAUUAAUUACCUAAUGUGAUCCUUUCCACGGUCCCUAAGAGGUAGAUAUUAUUGGCCCCAUUCACAGAUGAGAAAAACUGAGGCUCAGAAACAUGAGUCAACUUGGAAAGAGUUUCACACACUUGACCAGUGGUAGAGCCUGUACCGGAAGCCAGGCAUCCUGGCUCUGGAGCUCAUGUUGUCACCCUGUUACCCACUUGCCUCAUUUCUGAGAGCAGCCUAUUCCUAGGAGCCGCUUCUGCCCUGCCUAACUCAACUGCUUUGUCUUCCAUGGCGUCUCUCUCUCUCUCUUUUCUUUUUUUUUGGCUCUCUCAGCUAGAAGUUUAUUCCUCUCUUUCCUCAUAGUCCUGAGGACUUUAUCUGAGCCUCUCUUAUAACUCCUGCCACAUUCUUUUAUUUCCUGUAGUUAUUUGCGUAUAUUUCUCAAAAUAGAGCUUUGUCUAAUAGACUUCUUUCUCCUCUUAGAAAAGCACAAUGCCUUGAAUGUAAAAAGAACUCAAUGCAUUUUUGUUGAAUGAAGGGAAUUUGCUUGUCUCCCUUGGGGGCAAGCCUUCAACUUCUCUGUAUGUGUCUUGCUCAGUAUGGUAUAGAGAGAAAGUCGUGGUCAACAAACCCUGCCGACCGGCCGAACUGAGAGCUGAGAUGCCUCCUGAGGACAGUUUUCUGAGUUUUAAAAGGCCUUGUUUUUUUGGGGUGUUAAGUUUCUGAAUACAGAAGCUAAGAAUUUUUCCUUUCAUAAGGUAGGAAACGCCUCAUGGAAGGAAAACAAAAUCCUGCCAAAACCCUAAGGAAAUUCUCAGAAAAGGUCCCAUCAGAACUCCCAGGAGUCUGUCUAAACCCAAAUGCCCCAGGUUGAAACUCUAGCUACCCAAAGAUGUCUUUCUGUGGGAUCUCACUGAGCCAAAUUCGGUGUGUGUGUGUGUGUGUGUGUGUGUUUUUAAAUAAGGAAAACUCUUUUAUCUCUGAUGAAGAAACAGUAAAUGAAAAUCUUAACAGGCACCCUCAAGAGUGGCUAAUUUCAAUAGCAGUGGAUUCCAUGGGGAUGGGGCAGAGGCAAACUGGGAACGGGGUUGCUGGCACUGAUUCUCAAUGAGAUGGAGACAUAGGUGCCACUUCACGGCAAGUCUGCCCUUCUUUCAGGGCUCUUGGCGGUUUUGCCUUUCCUCACCUAGCCUACGAUCCAUUGUCCCUUUGCUUGCCCCUGUUUUCAGAAGACCCCACACCAAGGUACCUGACUCUCUUUCCUCCCACUCAGGACCUUUCUGACCCUCUUCUUUCCCUGCUGAAAUGUGGACAUCCUGUCUUGGCUUCCUCCGGCCCUGCUCUUGGAACCCAGCUAAUCUGCUAAUGUGAUAAUGGGAAUGUGUGUGUUUCUCCCUACCCCAGAUAACAUAUUUGUAUUUUAUUUUCACUCAGACACAGAGGAGCAGGGAGGUGGUAGGAGCAGGGCCAAAGCUAUUAGAUAGCAUCAAAGUUACUGUCGUUCAGUCUUUUUGUUAUUGUUUUUGUUUUACAAAAAGCAAAGAACAAGCCAACCAACAAACAAAACAGAAGCUGUUUUGCAAAUUCAGGUCCAGCUUAUGGUUCACUGUGGCUCUGAAGUUUUCUUUUUUUUCCUUUCUGGUUGAACUCCUACACAACCAGGCUUCCUCCAGCUGGUAUGUUGUACAUCAUUUUUAUCAAUGAUCUGCAUAAACAAGAAAAUCCUGUCCCAUUCCCCACCUCCAACAGCACAGAUAAGAUGCCCAUUUCUUUCCAUCUCCUUCUUUGCAAUAAGACCCUUCCUCACUGACAGCAUUGUGACGAAGGAGACAUAACAAGGACCAUAUCCCCUGAAUCUUUGCCCCAGCGCCCCCACCCGUAUCCUGUGUAGGAUUCUAGGUUGGUCUGCGCGAGGGGUAAGAGUGGCAGUGCAAACUGUGGGCAAUCAGAGCUUCAGCCCUUGUUCUUUACCUUCCUUUUGACUUGACAGCUGGGAUGUGAGUCUGGAAGGUUCCUUUUGCUCAUUUUCCAAGAGCCACUCAUGCCCUGUCCUCUUCCUCCUUCCUGUCUUUGUCUUCUAAGAUACAAGAUGUUCCUGACUAAGAAGAUUAUCUUGUUUCCUCAGUUACUAGGAAGCAAAGAGAGGAAGAGCCCUCCCGUGGAAGAAAACUAUCUCUGCCCACCAAAAGUUGCACUCCUCCUCCAGCAGCCCCAGUGUUGACCAUUGUGUACUUGAUCUGUAUGAAAAUCCCUUUUCUGGCUCAAUAGGGAACCUUGAUCUUCCCCUACAGGCUGACAGAAACAAGGCAAGCAUCUAAGCUUCAUUCCUAGGCCUGUGGCAGACAUCACUCAUCAAUGGUGAUUUUUUGCUGAAUCUUGGGGCAGGUCUGCACCCCAGCAGGCAUGAUCAAUCUAUUGGAGCCUGCAAUGGAGAGAAAAAACAUCUGCCAUCCCUUCCUCAGUGAUGCUUCUGUCAUCCAUGCAGGAGGCUGGGGGUAGGGACAUUUCUUCAGCAACCUGCAGCUAAGAAGACAUGGAAGCUGGAGAGUGCAGAAAAAGUUGUUUUCUUAGCUUUCAUGUAGAUUAACUUUAAGGCCAAAAGCUUCACCUGCUUCACCUGCUCUGGGCAUGAAUGUGGCAUCUCCAUUCAGUUGCUCUGCUUAAUAGGAAAUAAAAAGUGCAAGGAACACACUACCCUUAAGGUACCAAUAGACAUGCUCCCCGGGGAGGACUAAGCAAUGCAUGAUGGUGACUCAGGAGGCUAGAGGGUCUCAUGGAGGAGGACGAGUGCCAGGGGCUGGGGACAGGUGGCUGAGCUGGAGUUAUCCAGUUCCCUGGCAGUCUGGGUGCACAGGGUGAUCCUGCAGAACAGCAAAUAUUCUGCUUGUCUGCUGCUGGUAUUUAGACGCUGCUGGAAUGUCCUGGCAGGACUAUCUGUCCAAAUCCAUUCAAAAUUGAUUUUUGUGUCUUUGAUGGGGAAUUUUGGCCAGGAUCCCCACGGUCCCCCAAUUCAGUUAGACAUUCUCCUCUCCCUUCUUUAGCUUAUUAGCUGCUUCUCGGUGGGAGUCUGGGCCUUCAUGUUCCCUCUUCAGCCAGUUCAAGUGAUCUGAAGCUCUAGGAAGGAUGGAAGUGGGUCUGUGCUGUGAAUCUGAAAUGCCUAGAUGCAUUUAUUUAAAGCAGCAGCCUCUUAGCAGGGUUGACACAGCCCAAUGCUGAAAAGUUGGGUUUUUGGCCAGGGUCUCCCCACUUUUGCUAGAGAGCCAGGAAAUGGGUAGGAAUGUCUGGACCAGAGCAGAGGAAAAGAAGAAGUGAGUCAGAAAAGAAAAGCAGAGCCUGUACAGGCCACAUCCUUGAAGGAUUUACUGCAAGCCUAGCUACUCCGCUGGGAGUGCCUUCCUUAAUGUCUGCUGCCUCCAAGGCUGCCCACACAGUCAGCCACGAUGGGGCACCGAUGCUCACCAGGGGCUACCAGGCGCUGAGAGGUGGGGGAAGAAGACCAAAUCCUAGAUCCCAGAAACUUACAAUCGGGCAGAAGAGAUAAGUACAAAUCUAACUAAAAUUAAAAAGUGGGCAAGAAAGUGCACAGCUACAACAUGCUAAGAGGAGUUCUGAUGCAGUGGCUCUUAGAACUAGGUUUUGAGCAGUUUGUAUAUGUGUGUAUGUGUGUGUGUAUGUGUUAUGCCUCUGUGUGUACAUGUGCAUGUCUCUCUGUAUGUUUGUGUCUGUGUGUAUGUCUCUGUGUGUGUGUGUAUGUCUCCGUGUAUGUAUGUGUUUUUGUGUAUCUGUGUGUAUGCCUGUGUAUGUCUGUGUGUGUAUAUGUCUCUUUGUGUGUCUAUGUGUAUGUGUUUAUAUUUCUGUGUGUGUCUGUGUGUAUGUGGAUGUCUCUUUGUGUGUCUGUGUGUAUGUAUAUGUCUCUGCGUGUGUGUGUGUGUGUGUGUCUGUGUGUAUAUGGAUGUCUCUCUGUGUGUGUUUGUGUGUAUGUAUAUGUCUCUGCGUGUGUCUCUGUGUAUAUAUGUCUCUGUGUGUGUCUGUGUAUGUGUCUGUGUGCAGGUAUAUGUCUCUGUGUGUGUUUGUAUAUGUGUAUGUCUCUGUAUGUGUGUAUAUGCGUGUAUAUGUCUUUCUGUGUGUGACUGUGUGUGUAUUGAUGAAGAGCUCUUUGUCCUCUAGGUCAGUGGCUCUCAUUCUCAAUCUUGGCUUCUUGGCUGUAUCUUGGAAUUAGUUAAUGAGCUUUAAGAAAUACUGAUGCCAGCUGCUACCUCCAGAGCUUCUGAUGUGAUUGAGUCCGAGUAUAGGGAGGGAAUUCCAUAGGGACAGAUAAGGUCAGGCUGUGGUGAGUGGCUGGGCUCUGGUGCUUGUCUGCUUUAAUUGAAGAGUUGGAAAAAUGGCAGAUGUUGUAUGGUAGAGGGCAGUUCCUGUUAGUCACAUGGGAGAUAUAAUACCAUCCUUUACUGUCUCUGGGGGUAACAGGGGAGGAAGGUGGUCUCUGGGUUGUGUUUGCAUGAAAAAUGGUCCCACAGGAGGCACAGUUUCACAGUCCAAAGAAAUACCUUCUACUUCUUUAAUACCAACAUACACUUCUGAGAAGACCUUGCUCAAUCCCUCCUUCCUUCUCUCAUUUCAUUCUUCCCUCUCUCCUUUCCUCCCUUCCUCUUUUACCUUUAUCCACAGAUAUUUAUUUAGCUCAUGCCAUGUCCCAGGCACAGUUCUGGGGCCAAGCGGGGAACAAGGCAGAUUAGUUCUUGAUUUCAAGGAGUUGACAUCUUAGGUGCUUACCAUAUAACAAACAUGAGUACUGGUGGAAAUGUGCAUGUCUUCUGUAGAUGGGACUUUUCCUGAAGAGUCAGUAGUUGGUGUCUUAGCACUACAUUUUAUGGUAAAACAUGGCUCCAAUAUUUUAAGAUAAUGCAUUUGCAUUAAGAUGUUGUGUGCUGUCGAUCAUAAUGGACUAAUAAUGACUCAGAGUUCACAUGUGCUACAUUAUUAACUAUUGAAUAGAUAGAUGAGUUUUAAUAAUAUAUGGGUAAGGUAUAAAGGGUAAAAAUAAACUAAACAGCAAUGUACCUGCUACCCAGCUUAAGAAAUGAAAUAUUGCAUUUGCCUUUGAAGCCCGUCCUGAGUUGGCCACCAUCUUGAAUUUUGUGUAUAAUGUUCCCUAGGUAAUAUGUAGUUUAGUCAUACCUGAUUUUAAACUUUGACUUCAUGCAAAUGUUGUAUACAGAUGUUCUAUUUAG